CGUUAAAGUUGAAUCUUGAGUGUAAAAAAACAAAAAACAACGACAACGUUAUUGACGUCGCCGCAACAGUUACGACGCUUCAUAUAGUCCUAUACUUGUAUGAAAUGUAUACCGUUUUGUUGGAGUUCGUGUUGCUCGGUCUUUAGUUCUUUAUGUUACGUUUUGUGUACUAUUGUAUUGUAUUUGUCUAUUAUAUUCGGGUGCGUGCGGAGAUCUCCAAGCUAGAAAACGGUUGACAUUUUCUUCAUUACGAACUAGAACUAUUUUCGACCUUGGUGCCUUAUUUUUUGUUAAAAUCUAAACACUGCGACGUGUUUUCAAAAUCUUUGUUCCCA
RNAcentral lists this long non-coding RNA (335 nucleotides) under Mytilus galloprovincialis (Mediterranean mussel). Lineage: Eukaryota; Metazoa; Mollusca; Bivalvia; Mytilida; Mytilidae. The record is from RNAcentral.